ACUCAAAUGAAUUGACGGGGGCCCGCACAAGCAGUGGAGUAUGUGGUUUAAUUCGAAGCAACGCGAAGAACCUUACCAGGGCUUGACAUCUACUGAACCUUACGGAAACGUAGGGGUGCCUUUUUGGAGCAGUAAGACAGGUGGUGCAUGGUUGUCGUCAGCUCGUGUCGUGAGAUGUUGGGUUAAGUCCCGCAACGAGCGCAACCCCUAUCGUUAGUUGCCAGCAUUUGGUUGGGCACUCUAGCGAGACUGCCGGUGACAAAUCGGAGGAAGGUGGGGACGACGUCAAAUCAUCAUGCCCCUUAUGUCCUGGGCUACACACGUACUACAAUGGCUGUUAACAGAGGGAAGCGAAGUCGCGAGGCGGAGCAAAUCCCCAAAUGCAGCCUCAGUUCAGAUUGCAGGCUGAAACUCGCCUGUAUGAAGUAGGAAUUGCUAGUAAUCGCGAAUCAGCAUGUCGCGGUGAAUACGUUCCCGGGCCUUGUACACACCGCCCGU
Molecule: ribosomal RNA, 498 nt
Filed under: uncultured bacterium
Lineage: Bacteria
Description: bacterial SSU rRNA
Rfam family: Bacterial small subunit ribosomal RNA
Source: RNAcentral